Molecule: ribosomal RNA, 448 nt
Filed under: uncultured bacterium
Lineage: Bacteria
Description: partial 16S ribosomal RNA
Rfam family: Bacterial small subunit ribosomal RNA
Source: RNAcentral
CUCCAGACUCCUACGGGAGGCAGCAGUGGGGGAUAUUGCACAAUGGGGGGAACCCUGAUGCAGCGACGCCGCGUGGGUGAAGGAGCGUUUCGGCGCGUAAAGCCCUCUCGGCAGGGAAGAAGGAGGACGGUACCUGACUAAGAAGCCCCGGCUAACUACGUGCCAGCAGCCGCGGUAAUACGUAGGGGGCAAGCGUUAUCCGGCUUUACUGGGUGUAAAGGGGGCGCGGACGGCAGGGCAAGCCACGAGUGAAAGCGCGGGGCCCAGCCCCGGGACUGCUCUUGGAACUGCGCGGCUGGAGUGCAGGAGGGGCAGGCGGAAUUCCUAGUGUAGCGGUGAAAUGCGUAGAUAUUAGGAGGAACACCAGUGGCGAAGGCGGCCUACUGGACGGUGACUGACGCUGAGGCUCGAAAGCGUGGGGAGCAAACAGGAUUAGAUACCCUAGUAA